Molecule: ribosomal RNA, 1405 nt
Filed under: uncultured Alphaproteobacteria bacterium
Lineage: Bacteria; Pseudomonadati; Pseudomonadota; Alphaproteobacteria
Description: bacterial SSU rRNA
Rfam family: Bacterial small subunit ribosomal RNA
Source: RNAcentral
AACGAACGCUGGCGGCACGCUUAACACAUGCAAGUCGAACGGGUAGCAAUACUAGUGGCGCACGGGUGAGUAAUACAUAGGAAUCUGCCUUAUAGACAGGGAUAACUAUUGGAAACGGUAGCUAAUACCUGAUGAGUUCUACGGAAGAAAGUAUUUAUACGCUAUAAGAUGAGCCUAUGGUUGAUUAGCUAGUUGGUAGGGUAAGAGCCUACCAAGGCGAUGAUCAAUAGCUGUUCUUAGAGGAAGACCAGCCACACUGGAACUGAGACACGGUCCAGACUCCUACGGGAGGCAGCAGUGGGGAAUUUUGGACAAUGGGGGAAACCCUGAUCCAGCGAUGCCGCGUGAGUGAAGAAGGCCUUCGGGUUGUAAAACUCUUUUACUGAUGAAGAUAAUGACGGUAAUCAGAGAAUAAGUUCCGGCAAACUUCGUGCCAGCAGCCGCAGUAAUACGAAGGGAACUAGCGUUGUUCGGAAUCACUGGGCGUAAAGGGUGAGUAGGCUGUUUGGUAAGUUAGAUGUGAAAUCCUUACUCUCAAGGUAAGAACUGCAUUUAAUACUGCCAAACUAGAGAACGGAAGGGGAUAAUGGAAUUCCAAGUGUAGAGGUGGAAUUCGUAGAUAUUUGGAGGAACACCAGAAGCGAAGGCGUUUAUCUGGUCCGUAACUGACGCUGAGUCACGAAAGCAUGGGUAGCAAACAGGAUUAGAUACCCUGGUAGUCCAUGCUGUAAACGAUGAGUGCUAUAUAUUGGGGAGCGAUCUUCAGUAUUUGAGUUAACGCAUUAAGCACUCCGCCUGAGUAGUACGGUCGCAAGAUUAAAACUCAAAGGAAUUGACGGGGACCCGCACAAGCGGUGGAGCAUGUGGUUUAAUUCGAAGCUACGCGAAGAACCUUACCAGGGUUUGACAUUAUGCUAGAGAUAGAAAGAGAUUUUUAUUGCAUUUAGUUGGAGCAUAACAGGUGCUGCAUGGCUGUCGUCAGCUCGUGUCGUGAGAUGUUGGGUUAAGUCCCGCAACGAGCGCAACCCUCAUCCUUAGUUGCUAACAGGUUAAGCUGAGAACCCUAGGGAAACUGCUAGUGUUAAGCUAGAGGAAGGUGGGGAUGACGUCAAGUCCUCAUGGCCCUUACAUCCUGGGCUACACACGUGCUACAAUGGUGGUGACAAAGAGCUGCAAAAUCGCGAGAUGGAGCAAAUCUCAAAAAGCCACCUCAGUUCGGAUUGCACUCUGCAACUCGAGUGCAUGAAGUUGGAAUCGCUAGUAAUCGCAUAUCAGCAUGUUGCGGUGAAUACGUUCCCGGGUCUUGUACACACCGCCCGUCACACCAUGGGAGCUGAUUUUACCUUAAGAUGGUGUACCAACCGCAAGGAGGAAGCCAACCAAGGUAGGGUUAGUGACUGGGGUG